CUAUUAUGACAAUCCAAUAGGUUGAUCUACUUUACACUAUGGAAGAGGAAAGGCCAGUCGCUAAACCUGUAUAAGGAUCGGCUAUAAAACAAGGACAGUGCCCAGCUCAAAAUGGCUGAGAUUAUUUACCGUAUCUCCCAAGAAAUGUGAAUUACUCACUUUUUAAAGAAGGAUUGCUUCUUGGAUAAACUUCUCCAUCUCAAUCAAAGGCAUCUUUCUUUUCUUGAGGCAGAAAUGAAGUCACCAGAAGCAUCAAGGGCUCUUGAUUUUAAUGGAGCCAAAUAAUACAAAGAUCCAAGCCCUUAUCUAGU
Molecule: long non-coding RNA, 311 nt
Filed under: Capra hircus (goat)
Lineage: Eukaryota; Metazoa; Chordata; Mammalia; Artiodactyla; Bovidae
Description: lncRNA (ENSCHIG00010014422.1)
Source: RNAcentral